This 450-nucleotide ribosomal RNA is filed under the name Fusobacterium naviforme. RNAcentral describes it as "bacterial SSU rRNA". It matches the Rfam family "Bacterial small subunit ribosomal RNA", at positions 28 to 490 of the family's 1533-position model. The record is from RNAcentral. Lineage: Bacteria; Fusobacteriati; Fusobacteriota; Fusobacteriia; Fusobacteriales; Fusobacteriaceae.
GAUGAACGCUGACAGAAUGCUUAACACAUGCAAGUCAACUUGAAUUUGGGUUUUUAACUUAGGUUUGGGUGGCGGACGGGUGAGUAACGCGUAAAGAACUUGCCUCACAGGUAGGGACAACAUUUGGAAACGAAUGCUAAUACCUAAUAUUAUGAUAAUAGGGCAUCCUAUAAUUAUGAAAGCUAUAAGCGCUGUGAGAGAGCUUUGCGUCCCAUUAGCUAGUUGGAGAGGUAACGGCUCACCAAGGCGAUGAUGGGUAGCCGGCCUGAGAGGGUGAUCGGCCACAAGGGGACUGAGACACGGCCCUUACUCCUACGGGAGGCAGCAGUGGGGAAUAUUGGACAAUGGACCGAGAGUCUGAUCCAGCAAUUCUGUGUGCACGAUGAAGUUUUUCGGAAUGUAAAGUGCUUUCAGUUGGGAAGAAACAAAUGACGGUACCAACAGAAGAAG